Hemicordylus capensis (graceful crag lizard) is the source of this 2632-nucleotide long non-coding RNA. RefSeq lists it as uncharacterized. The record is from RefSeq and is a predicted model, not a curated record. NCBI's taxonomy places the organism in Eukaryota, Metazoa, Chordata, Lepidosauria, Squamata, Cordylidae. The transcript is spliced from 4 exons.
ACCUCAGGUGUUUCUCAUAUGUUGCUAAACCUCAGAGUUAACUAUAUCUUGCCAGAUCUCCUCAUAUACAUUUCUUGUGAUUUAUCACUCUGUGCUAUGAAGCCUGGAAAUUCAGUAAUCCAAAAAACCUUUGGUUUAAAAGGAGAGUUGAUGCUUUCAAUUUUCAUUUGUGCUCUAAAAUGCAUGGAAAUUGCAAGUCAAAGUGCCCAACUAAACUGCUGCAAUCACCAGCAGUGACAGCACCAACAUACGGAGAGCACAGAAAUGGGAUCUAGCAAUGGGUGGAGAAAAGCAGGCCUAGCUCAUCUCGCCCCACCUGCCCGCUGACACCUGAGGUGGCAUGGGUGUAAGCACUGUUACUUUACUGGGCAAUGGCUCCCAGAAACAUGCAGCCAAGGCAACACAACUCAUGAAAGAGAAUGCUUCCUCCACUGUGCAAGAGAGGAAUGAGGUACAUCUGACAUUUUCACUCAUUUCUUAAGGAAGUUUCUCAUGAUUUCUGCAACUUCCCCUUGGCCUGGCCACAAUUCAGCCCUUGGUGUUCAAGGCUAUAUACAGUUUGACACAUCAGUUUUAAUGUGGUUUCAGACUUUAAAAAGUUAUUCAUCAUAGGGACAAAGAGAAGGAACAAAAAUACAUUAGAAAGCAACAUCUGGAAUAGGAGAGAAAGAUCAGUAAUAAUUAUUGUGCACUUUUCUGCGGCUUACUGUUCUGCACGCAGUCUUCAAAAGAGUAAUUUCCAGAUUCACUGAAGGUUACUAAAAAUAAGAAUUAUGUAGAAGUACUUAACUGAACAGGAACUGAAGUAAUUGAAUGAGUUCUGAAGAACAACUUUCACAUUUGGUAAAGGUAUUGCUCAAGCAGGAGUUUCCUCAAAGCAGCUUAUUUCCAGGGGUGAAGCUGGUCAGCUGUCCCGCUCCUGGGGCCACCCACCUCAGCUCUUACCCCCCCCCCCCAAGCCAGUUCUCAUUUCCCAGCUUGCCUUUGCUGGCUAGGUUUAUAUAUUUUCCUUUCUCUCCCUCAAAGGAGGGAGAGAAUGGCGGGGGGGGGGGAUAUGCACAGCCAGCAAACAAUGGGUGGGAAUGAGUUCCAAAAGGCUUGCAAAUGUCCAGUUUAAGCCCACAUCUAAACACCACCAACACAGCAUGAUCUGUGUCAUUCCUCCCCAAAAGAAAACCAGGUCCAGUUAGGGGUCAGCCAGACAGGACCAUUUCUCCCUUCCAAAUUAUUCUGGCCCUGGCCCAAAAUUAAUCUCUGCUCGACCCCCCUACAAAGCUGCAUUAAGCUGCAGCUAGACCUGACUGCUGACCUGCAACUUUUCUACUUCUCGACUCCGUAUUGCCUAAGGCAGGUUGUUAUAUUUGUCUUCCUGAGAAGAUGCUCUCCUCUUGUUGUUUACUAUUGCAGAGCAAUUGAAUAAAUUGUUGAGCCGUUUCACCUUCCUGUGGUAGCUAAAGGGGCCAUUCACAUGACCUACUGGGCGGGUGGGGAAAAUGCAAAACUGGCCUUGCCCCCAGAUGAGCAUUCAUGAGGCUUGUGGGAUGAUGAGCACUUGAGCCUUGUGGGAGCAUGCUCCGCUCUCCUAUACGACCUUCACUGCUCCAUGCAGCACGGAGCAGGGCAGACCACUCUGAGGCCAGGACUCGUUACCCCCCACCCAGGUAUCCCAUAGUGCACCGCACACUGAGCGCAGUGCACUGGGAGAUUCCCAGUGGGAAUCUUUAGGCACCCAUCUCUGUGACCUCAUGAAUUACAAGUAGCCUGCACUGACACAUGAUCCCGGGAGCUGGGUUACAGGCAUGUUUGCUAAGAGCCGGGUUUGGUCCUGAGUUUGGUGCUGCAACACCGCUGGAAUCUGCAUGUAUCUCGGCAGUUCUCAUAGCUGCCUAAGCCUGGGCUUGGUUGUUCAUGGGAACAGCCUCCAAGUGUUUUUACCCAAGGAUAUGGGUGGGCUUUAAAGUUUUUGUUCAGAACUUCAGAUUACUCUGGAAAUAAUGCAGAGUACUUUUUUCUGACUGAGAGAGAAAAGCCGAACUCACAAAGCAUCUUUUUCUGCACCUGAGAUGUCUAUGACCAUCUGCUCUGGAUUAGAAAUGUAAACAGAAUCGUUAUGUUUUGUACAUUUUUCAUUUGCUUUAUGUAAACCUCUUCCUUGACAAUCCUUAAAGUACUACAUAUUUUAUUCUUUUUAAUGUGAUUCUGUUCUGUGUGCUUCUGCUGCUGCUGGUGGUUUUAUACUUUACACACCUGAGCCCCUUCUUUCACAAGUCAUUGAAAUCAGAGGAUACACAAUCUGUAAAAGUCAUUUAUGACUCUGUACAUGUCCUUCCAUACACGUCUUCUUCCCAUCUUCCAUGUGAAUUGUUCUGUUUAAAUGUAAAAAAAGAAAAUGAUAAUUUCUGUUGCAGAAUGAUCAUGUUUUUUUAAGUCACUCAGAUAGCUAAAAUGCUGCUGAAAAGUGGAAUAAAGCUCUCUCAGUUGCCUGACAUUGAUAACUAAAUUGUAGUUAUUGUAAUUGUUUUAUAUUUUAAUGAUGUUUACUUUGUUUUAGUUCUUGUAUCUUGUCUUUUGUACUGACCAAUGGUCAUGCAAUAAAGAUGUAAAAUAACAAGAACUGCCUAGUAAGAACAGU